RNAcentral lists this ribosomal RNA (484 nucleotides) under uncultured bacterium. RNAcentral describes it as "partial 16S ribosomal RNA". It matches the Rfam family "Bacterial small subunit ribosomal RNA", at positions 29 to 507 of the family's 1533-position model. The record is from RNAcentral.
AUUGAACGCUGGCGGCAUGCUUUACACAUGCAAGUCGAACGGCAGCGCGGGCUUCGGCCUGGCGGCGAGUGGCGAACGGGUGAGUAAUACAUCGGAACGUGCCCAGUAGUGGGGGAUAGCUCGGCGAAAGCCGGAUUAAUACCGCAUACGACCUGAGGGUGAAAGCGGGGGAUCUUCGGACCUCGCGCUAUUGGAGCGGCCGAUGGUAGAUUAGCUAGUUGGUGGGGUAAAGGCCUACCAAGGCGACGAUCUGUAGCUGGUCUGAGAGGACGACCAGCCACACUGGGACUGAGACACGGCCCAGACUCCUACGGGAGGCAGCAGUGGGGAAUUUUGGACAAUGGGCGAAAGCCUGAUCCAGCAAUGCCGCGUGUGUGAUGAAGGCCUUCGGGUUGUAAAGCACUUUUGGCGGGAACGAAAAGGACUGUGCCAAUACCACGGUUCGAUGACGGUACCCGCAGAAUAAGCACCGGCUAACUACGUG